GAUGAACGCUGGCGGCGUGCCUAAUACAUGCAAGUCGAGCGAACAGACGAGGAGCUUGCUCCUCUGACGUUAGCGGCGGACGGGUGAGUAACACGUGGAUAACCUACCUAUAAGACUGGGAUAACUUCGGGAAACCGGAGCUAAUACCGGAUAAUAUAUUGAACCGCAUGGUUCAAUAGUGAAAGACGGUUUUGCUGUCACUUAUAGAUGGAUCCGCGCCGCAUUAGCUAGUUGGUAAGGUAACGGCUUACCAAGGCAACGAUGCGUAGCCGACCUGAGAGGGUGAUCGGCCACACUGGAACUGGGACACGGUCCAUACUCCUACGGGAGGCAGCAGUAGGGAAUCUUCCGCAAUGGGCGAAAGCCUGACGGAGCAACGCCGCGUGAGUUAUGAAGGUCUUCGGAUCGUAAAACUCUGUUAUUAGGGAAGAACAAAUGUGUAAGUAACUAUGCACGUCUUGACGGUACCUAAUCAGAAAGCCACGGCUAACUACGUG
This 497-nucleotide ribosomal RNA is filed under the name uncultured bacterium. RNAcentral describes it as "partial 16S ribosomal RNA". It matches the Rfam family "Bacterial small subunit ribosomal RNA", at positions 28 to 507 of the family's 1533-position model. The record is from RNAcentral.